Molecule: long non-coding RNA, 2174 nt
Organism: Pseudophryne corroboree (corroboree frog)
Lineage: Eukaryota; Metazoa; Chordata; Amphibia; Anura; Myobatrachidae
Exons: 4
Source: RefSeq, a predicted model, not a curated record
CGCCCGCCCCGGCAGAGCCAGAUAGAGGGGACACAGGGAACAAGCUAACUCCCCAGCCUCCCUCCAGCUGCCUUUCAUAGUCACAGCAGUGCUGAGCUGAAUAAGAAGAUUUAGCCGAAAGGGGGCGGGGCUACACGGCACUGUACACAGUGCCAGUCCAGCAAGCAGCAUGGGAGACAGAAGCUCACUGUGUAGCAGCAGAAGACUCUAAACACAUCCGUACACUUGUUUCUAUGGUGAUGGUUACACCACGCCCCCUGGUGACGCCGGGUAGCCGGCGCCGGCGCGCGCCCAUGACGUCAUCGGGUCUCCCGGAGAGCGGCGGUCGUCUGCACAUGAGGUGUCACUGUACUGCUGAUAAUGCCACCGGCUGUGGGACCCUUCAUUGCUUCAGGUCCUGGCACAAUGCACCAGCUGCAUCACCAAAAGAUCCACCCAUCACCCACAAUAAAGAGCAAAAGCAAAUACAAUGCAGGGACUUCAUAUUUUAUUAGCAAGUCCACAGGCACAGAGAUUUUCUGCUUAUCCAUGAUCUACAAGCUUGCAAGCAUUUCUGAAGAUAGUUGUGAAUAAUUUCUCUUGUUCAUAUUACUGAAUAAUAUUACAGAUAUAACCACGCUCAUUCAGCCCAUGGUACGACAGGCUGUGACUAGUAUUCACACACACGACUAGCCGCAUCCACAACUAGCAUAGCUACAUCUGUAAAUAUGCUUGAUAGAGAUGUGUCCUCAUACAUCUUGCCUCAAUACAGUAUGCCACACAGUGAUUGCUACAACUCUAUUAGAAUCAGGUGGUUUUUUUUUUUUACAGGAAAUGCGUUGCACAAACAGACUAUGCUGAUUAAAAUUAUAUGCGGAAUGCCUAUAUUCUGUGUGCGUCUGUGGCUGUAUCUGCAUACGAAAUGCUACAUUUUGUAUACAAAUACAUCCAUGGCUACAAACAAAAUAUAGGCAUCAUUGUGCGAUUAAUACGCAUUUUAAUGGAAAAAGUCACACAAAAUUGACGAUUGGUGCUACCAAGUCAUGCCACAGCAUGGCAUGAGUAGAAGGACUGUUCAAUGUGCCAGGAGGCUAGAUGUAUGUGGCCACAUCUGUAAUUCUGAUUGUUAACUUAUUGGCCUUUGUGAGGCACAACAUUAUUUCUGGUUAAAAUAUGUUGCACACUAGUAAUGUAUUACAACAAUAACCAAUACAGAUGUUUACCUAUGUAAAAACAACUGUCAACAAUGCCUCCAAAAAACAGUAUUAUGUAAUUAUUAUUGUUUCUUAAUAAUUUAUUAUACACUGCCAGUCAGUCACAUGCAUGAUAAGAAUGACACAUUAGCUGGUAAAGGAUUGACUUUACCAAUGCCCCACAAGAAUACAGCCUUAUGAUAAGAAAAGUGGUUCAAGAUGGAAUCGUCCAUGGGCCACCCAUCCUUAUGUUGUAUAUUAAAGAGGACAUGCUCAGUUUAACAGCAAGCUGCAAGAACAUUAUUAUUAGCUCUGCUCUGUCCUUUGGGUACAGACUCUUGAGUUCACUUUCCUGUUCCCAGAGCUCUGUUCACUGCAUCAAAGUAUUAUGGGUUCCAGCCUGCUCCAGAUACAGCCUGUAUUAUCCAAGCUACAGUACAGCUCAAUCCACCUAAAACUAAAUUAACCUUUAUUAAUGCCCUUUUUGGCGUAGUUUCAGUCAUUCAAAGCUUUUUAGCCUUGAUACUCAGAACAUUGGCUACCAUAAGAUAAAUGCAUGCUGUCUGAAUGUCCUGUAGAUUGCUACACAAAUAGUUGCUAAUUCUUUUUUAUGUAUUAUCUUUUUUAGUUAAUCAUUUCAUGGUCUAAAGUAACAAUCAUAAUCAUAACACUUGACAAAAGUUUACAAUUAUUACAAUCAUUCUCAGGAUUAUGAUACUGAAAAUAUAAACUUGACUUGUUAUGCGCCAACACUAAAGCAAUAAAAGAAAAGAAAGAAAUAGGAAGAUCACAAUGGUGAUAUAACAGAACGUAAAACCCAUAAUAUUCAAUGCGUAACAGAUGAAAGAGACAUGAAAAGCACAAAGCAAAAAAAGAUAAACAACAAUAUUUUCUAAUGCUAUAAAAUGGGAACAGUCUAUUGUACUGUAACUAAUGAUGUUUGAGUGUACUACAUUUGUUUGCAGCAUUUUAGUAAACAGAGUAACAAGAUAAUAACUAUAA